GGGGGUAUAGCUCAGCGGUAGAGCAGUGGCCUUUUAAGCCAUUGGUCCAAGGUUCAAUCCCUUGUGCCCCCACCA
Molecule: transfer RNA, 75 nt
Filed under: Gammaproteobacteria bacterium
Lineage: Bacteria; Pseudomonadati; Pseudomonadota; Gammaproteobacteria
Description: tRNA-Lys
Rfam family: tRNA
About the family: Transfer RNA (tRNA) molecules are approximately 80 nucleotides in length. Their secondary structure includes four short double-helical elements and three loops (D, anti-codon, and T loops).
Source: RNAcentral